This 256-nucleotide ribosomal RNA is filed under the name uncultured bacterium. RNAcentral describes it as "partial 16S ribosomal RNA". It matches the Rfam family "Bacterial small subunit ribosomal RNA", at positions 98 to 354 of the family's 1533-position model. The record is from RNAcentral.
CGGGACGGGUGAGUAACGCGUGGGCAACCUGCCUUACACAGGGGGAUAACACUUAGAAAUAGGUGCUAAAACCGCAUAAGCGCACAGCUUCGCAUGAAGCGGUGUGAAAAACUCCGGUGGUGUAAGAUGGACCCGCGUCUGAUCAGCUUGUUGGCGGGGUAACGGCCCACCAAGGCGACGAUCAGUAGCCGGCCUGAGAGGGCGGACGGCCACAUUGGGACUGAGACACGGCCCAGACUCCUACGGGAGGCAGCAG